UACGAGGGGGGCAAGCGUUGUUCGGAAUUAUUGGGCGUAAAGGGUGCGUAGGCGGCUAUUUAAGUUUGGUGUGAAAUCUCCCGGCUCAACCGGGAGGGUGCGCCGAAUACUGAGUGGCUAGAGUGCGGGAGAGGAAAGUGGAAUUCCUGGUGUAGCGGUGAAAUGCGUAGAUAUCAGGAGGAACACCGGUGGUGUAAACGGCUUUCUGGACCGUAACUGACGCUGAGGCACGAAAGCGUGGGUAGCAAACAGG
RNAcentral lists this ribosomal RNA (253 nucleotides) under uncultured prokaryote. Its description in RNAcentral is "partial 16S ribosomal RNA". It matches the Rfam family "Bacterial small subunit ribosomal RNA", at positions 524 to 776 of the family's 1533-position model. The record is from RNAcentral.